This 454-nucleotide ribosomal RNA is filed under the name Sceloporus undulatus (fence lizard). Its description in RNAcentral is "partial 16S ribosomal RNA". It matches the Rfam family "Bacterial large subunit ribosomal RNA", at positions 1923 to 2574 of the family's 2925-position model. Lineage: Eukaryota; Metazoa; Chordata; Lepidosauria; Squamata; Phrynosomatidae. The record is from RNAcentral.
UUUAACGGCCGCGGUAUCCUAACCGUGCAAAGGUAGCGUAAUCACUUGUCCCUUAAAUAGGGACCAGUAUGAAUGGCUAAAUGAGGAUAAACCUGUCUCCUUUAACAAAUCAGUGAAACUGAUCUACCAGUACAAAAGCUGGUAUAAACACAUAAGACGAGAAGACCCUGUGGAGCUUUAAAUUUUAACCAAGUAACUAACGCAAGCUCAACCAAUGGCUAAAAAUUUUAAGUUGGGGCGACUUCGGAAAUAAACCAAACUUCCGAGCAUAAGAUCAACAUCUUACCAAGACCUACAAGUCAAAGCUAAAAUUGACCCAGUACCACUGACAACCGAACCAAGUUACCCCAGGGAUAACAGCGCAAUCUUCUUCAAGAGUCCAUAUCGACAAGAAGGUUUACGACCUCGAUGUUGGAUCAGGACACCCCAAUGGUGCAGCCGCUAUUAAANGUUC